RNAcentral lists this transfer RNA (74 nucleotides) under Planctomycetota bacterium. RNAcentral describes it as "Planctomycetes bacterium (freshwater sediment metagenome) tRNA-Arg". It matches the Rfam family "tRNA". From Rfam's summary of the family: Transfer RNA (tRNA) molecules are approximately 80 nucleotides in length. Their secondary structure includes four short double-helical elements and three loops (D, anti-codon, and T loops). Further hydrogen bonds mediate the characteristic L-shaped molecular structure. tRNAs have two regions of fundamental functional importance: the anti-codon, which is responsible for specific mRNA codon recognition, and the 3' end, to which the tRNAs corresponding amino acid is attached (by aminoacyl-tRNA synthetases). tRNAs cope with the degeneracy of the genetic code in two manners: having more than one tRNA (with a specific anti-codon) for a particular amino acid; and 'wobble' base-pairing, i.e. permitting non-standard base-pairing at the 3rd anti-codon position. The record is from RNAcentral. Lineage: Bacteria; Pseudomonadati; Planctomycetota.
GGGCCUGUAGCUCAAGUGGACAGAGCAACUGCCUUCUAAGCAGUAGGUUCCGCGUUCGAGUCGCGGCAGGCCCG